This 1093-nucleotide ribosomal RNA is filed under the name uncultured organism. Its description in RNAcentral is "bacterial SSU rRNA". It matches the Rfam family "Bacterial small subunit ribosomal RNA", at positions 349 to 1455 of the family's 1533-position model. The record is from RNAcentral.
CAGCAGUGAGGAAUAUUGGUCAAUGGGCGAAAGCCUGAACCAGCCAUGCCGCGUGCAGGAUGAAUGCCCUAUGGGUUGUAAACUGCUUUUGUACAGGAAGAAUGCCCCUGACGUGUCAGGGAUUGACUGUACUGUACGAAUAAGCAUCGGCUAACUCCGUGCCAGCAGCCGCGGUAAUACGGAGGAUGCAAGCGUUAUCCGGAUUCACUGGGUUUAAAGGGUGCGUAGGCGGAAUAAUAAGUCGACGGUGAAAGCCUGCAGCUUAACUGUAGAAUUGCCAUCGAUACUGUUAUUCUUGAGUACAUUUGAGGUGAGCGGAAUGUGUAAUGUAGCGGUGAAAUGCGUAGAUAUUACACAGAACACCAAUUGUGAAAACAGCUCACUAAACUGUCACUGACGCUGAGGCACGAAAGCGUGGGUAGCAAACAGGAUUAGAUACCCUGGUAGUCCACGCUGUAAACUAUGAUCACUCGCUGUUGGCGAUACAUUGUCAGCGGCUAAACGAAAGCAUUAAGUGAUCCACCUGGGGAGUACGUCCGCAAGAAUGAAACUCAAAGGAAUUGACGGGGGCCCGCACAAGCGGAGGAACAUGUGGUUUAAUUUGAUGAUACGCGAGGAACCUUACCUGGGCUUAAAUGCAGAGCGAUCGGCCGGGAAACCGGCCUUCCUUCGGGCGAUCUGCAAGGUGCUGCACGGUUGUCGUCAGCUCGUGCCGUGAGGUGUCGGGUUAAGUCCCAUAACGAGCGCAACCCCUAUUGUUAGUUGCCAGCGAGUAAUGUCGGGGACUCUAACGAAACUGCCGGUGUAAACCGAGAGGAAGGUGGGGAUGACGUCAAAUCAGCAUGGCCCUUAUGUCCAGGGCUACACACGUGUUACAAUGGCCAGUACAAAGGGCGGCUACCAGGCAACUGGAUGCUAAUCUCUAAAACUGGUCCCAGUUCGGAUCGAAGUCUGCAAUUCGACUUCGUGAAGGUGGAUUCGCUAGUAAUCGCGCAUCAGCAAUGGCGUGGUGAUACGUUCCCGGGCCUUGUACACACCGCCCGUCAAGCCAUGGAAGCCGGGGGUACCUGAAGUCCGUAACCGAAAGGAGCGG